AAGAGAGAUCAAAACUAAGUACACAAGCAGUUCCUCAGGUAAUUCCAGCUUGAGUGACUUUAGUUUCGAAGCAAGAUGAGACAUUUCCAAAAUAUAAUUCCCUUAUGUUUCCGUUGCCUUUAUACCUCAUGGAAACAAGUUUACUCAAAAAAGUACUUGUUUCCGCCUUUUCGUUUUGUGAAAAACGCUUUUCAAGGUUUUCAAGGAAAACUUUCGCAUUAUUUUCAUCAUUCAUAGUGCCCCUGAAUGAUUCUGGAAUUGCACGUUUCAUGAUCA
This 276-nucleotide long non-coding RNA is filed under the name Nicotiana benthamiana. RNAcentral describes it as "long non-coding RNA (NBEN_LNC008427)". Lineage: Eukaryota; Viridiplantae; Streptophyta; Magnoliopsida; Solanales; Solanaceae. The record is from RNAcentral.